This 253-nucleotide ribosomal RNA is filed under the name uncultured bacterium. Its description in RNAcentral is "partial 16S ribosomal RNA". It matches the Rfam family "Bacterial small subunit ribosomal RNA", at positions 524 to 776 of the family's 1533-position model. The record is from RNAcentral.
UACAGAGGGGGCAAGCGUUGUUCGGAAUUACUGGGCGUAAAGGGCGCGUAGGCGGCCUGCUAAGUCGAACGUGAAAUCCCUGGGCUCAACCCAGGAACUGCGUCCGAUACUGGUUGGCUUGAAUCCGGGAGAGGGAUGUGGAAUUCCAGGUGUAGCGGUGAAAUGCGUAGAUAUCUGGAGGAACACCGGUGGCGAAGGCGGCGAUCUGGGCAGAUACUGACGCUGAGGUGCGAAAGCGUGGGGAGCAAACAGG